GCUGCCCUGGCUGGUGUUUCAUGUCCACCAGCUCUGCGUUCAGCACAGCACUCGGACUUGCCUAGGAAUUGUAAGAUUUCUUUUCAAAUUUAUUGAGGACCCCAAAGCACUUCAGCCUGUGAUGGCAAGACUUGCCAAAACUCGAGUUCUGACCCUCUGGCUAGGGCUGGUCUAGAUGCUUCCUCCAUGGGUGGGUGUCAGCUGAUUUUAGCUGGGUUUUGCUUUCUGCUGUGACAGGGCAGCACUUAGUUGAAUGCAAAGUCCCAGAGUUGCUGUGCUGUCCCUCCCCCAAGGACACAGAUUCUGUCUAUAUACCAUGUGGUCACUGCCAGGGCAUAGAGGAAGUGUGCCAUCUGUAAUUCAAGACUGUCUUUCCUGCCCUCCUCAGUGCCUCCUUCACUGAUAUGAAGUUAAAACAAGUGUGCCAAAUAAGUCAUUAACAGGGAAGAAUGGUGAACCCUUGUGUAACAUCAUAUUACAUGAGACAAAUCAGCCACCUGGGAAUAAGUGAACCCAUUUCAUUAUGCUCUCCCUUGCCUGCCACCAUGUAAGACGUGCCUCUUCUCCUCCGACCAUAAUUGUAAGCUUCCUGAGGCUGCCUCAGCCAUGCAGAACUAACCACAGUUUCCUAUUAGACAAGAAGUGACAGGUUACCGUAAUCCAGCUGACUCUAUCCCAUCCUGGCUUUGAUGAAGUAAGCUGCUGUGAUGCAAACUGCUCUCUGGAGAGGUGACAAACCUAAGGCAGGCUUUGGACAAUACCUAGGAAGAAACUGAGACCCUCAGUCCUACAACCUGCAAAGAACCAAAUUCUGCCAACAACCAAACAACCAUAUGAGCUUGAAAGCAGAUUCUUCCUGAGCUGAGCCUUGACAGAAGAAUACAUCUCAUACCUAAGUCUUGAUUGCAGCCAGAUGAGAGACUCUGAAGCAGAGGAUUCAGCUACUCUGUGCCCAGACUCCUGACUCACAGAAACUGUGAGCUAACAAUGUAUGGUAUUUUAAGCCACCAAGUUUGCGGUAAUUUGUUAUGAGCAGUAGAUAACUAACAUGCUGCUACAAUAAUUUCGAUACUUUUCAUUAAUUUAUGUCUUUGAGAAUCAGUCUACAGACAGAAUACAAAGAAGAAUGGAUAUGAAAAUGCAACAGUAUUUUAAGUCUUUUCAAACUCAGCGUCGUGAAAGUAAGAAAUUGGGGUGUGGAGUGGAUGUGGGAAGUAGAGAAGAAAUGGUAGGUAAUAGUGCUUAUAGGUUCAUUUUAUAAUGUGAGGAGUCAGCUUUAUGUAACAAGGAAUAAAGGCGUAGAUCUAUUAUGUAAAUUUACAAAAGGAAAAAAGUGGGUGAAGUAAAAAUAUUAUGAAUAAAGAAGAUGGGAUACUUUGAGUGAACCAAAGUAGCAUUUCUCAGGGAAGGAAGUUAAUAGAAUGCUACAUGAUAAAGCAAUAUGGUAGAAACCUGUUAGUGAGAUAGCUGGAAGUAACUAGCAGUAGAAACAACGACUAGAGUUGAAAGUAGUUGCCUCUUGUCAUAAGAGAAUGAAGCAAUAGGGUGUUAAUUUUCAUUUUCCCUAUAAACUAGGUCAUUUGAAACCUUAUAUAUAUUUUACUUUAAAAAUUAUAAUGAAAAUAAAUACACAAAAUGUGAAUUAUAUUAUUUAAAUCAUAAAUUAGAAACAAAGAGUAUUUGUUAUUUAUUCCAAAAUAUCAAUUCUGGCUUUCUGGCUCACUGACAUUUUCAGGAUUCUCCCCUGCUUUCUAAAUAUUUUUUUGCCUUAUUUUUCAAUUUUGCUGAUGAUACAAAUAAUACAUGUUCACCUUAAAUAAUUUUAAAAAGUGUAAAGACAUUGUAACUAAUAUAUAAUAUCUGACAUUCUACCAUUGUGGAAUAAUUACCAUUGACAUUUUGGUGAAUAUUUUUUCUUGCUUCUAUUUCUGCACCCUUAAAACAUACUGCUAAGUCUAGUCUCGAACUCCUGGUUUUGACAUCUACCAGCCUUAUUUUUAAUCUCAUUUUCAUUAAUGGGAUUAUAUCAUAAUAUCACUUUUAAUAUUGGAUAGAAUACUCUUCCUCACUUCAUAUUUUCCAUCUCUGCUUGUAUAUUUAUUUUGCAUUUCUAAGAAAUUAUGCAUAUUAAUAGACAGUUGUGUGUUGAUUUCUCUAUUGUUUCAUGAUUGUAUAAUUGAGGUAAUGCAUGCAGAUAGUCGAUCUAAAUUUCUAUUACUGAAUAUAAAAAUUUAUUAGUGAAGCAAAUUAAAUACUAUAUUAAUAUAUAUCUACAUAUAAUUCCAUGUAAAGACAAUUUGUGGCUAAGAAGAAAUUAUUCUAUGCAUAUAUGUAAAUUAAUACACAGGUACACUCACAUACACACCAUCUCCUUGACCUGAAAGACAGCAGUCUCAACCAUCUGAAAGAUUGCAAUCAAUCAGGAGGGAGGCCAUUACGAUUAUCAUCUAUUCCAAUAAAUAUCAUAAAAUUUGUAUACUUUAUUUAGAUCCCAUUAAGUUUCAUUUUAUCUACAUUUAUUUUAGGCACAAUUCUAAUAAACUUGGUUAUAUGAUUUCAAGCAUAUUAAAAGCAAAAUCUUGAAGAUGGUUAUAAUAGAAUACUAUACCCACCAUAUACAACCUAUCAAUUAGCAUAGGAAUUUGACUCUAAUUAAUGUUAGGGCUUAUACUCCUGAAUGAUCUUUGAAAAUCUGAGAGCCCAUUAAAAAGAACUGAUGUUCAAAUGAUGAUCCCAUGUCAUCAAGGAAAGGUUACAUUAUCUUCAGCUUCUUUUGCUUAAAAAGAAAAUCAAUGAAAAGUUUAAAAUGAUUUCAGAAAAAUUUGAAUUCAAAGGACUGGCAUUUAACCAAAGUUCUUGUUGCUUUAAUUUAUAACUAUCUUGUCAUCACCAUCACCAGUAAAAGCAGCAGCCACAGCAGCAUCAUAAUUUUUAUGACCCUUUUAAAGCAUCUAUUUGCAAGGUAUGCUGGAAGCUACUUAACAUUUUAGCUGAAUUAAUCCAACAACAACCUUAGAAAGAUAUUGUUAUGCUUAUGUUCAGAUAAAAAACAGGUUAAAAAAAUGAUAAGAAAUGAUGGAGUUCACUUUGGGAUACACUGAGUUUGAGGUGCCAUAAAGAGACAUUCAGGAGAUUUCAAUAGGCAAGAAAGAAAGAAGGAAAGAAAGAAAGAGAAAGAAAGAAAGAAAGAAAGAAAGAAAGAAAAGAAAGAAAAGAGGUGACUUGCCUAAGUUCUAGGCUUCUGCAGUAAAUUUUUUUUUUAUUUUUUAAUUUCUAAUUUUUGUGGGUACAUAGUAGGUGUACAUAUUUAUGGGGUGUAUGAGAUGUUUUGAUACAGGCAUGCAAUGUAAAAUAAUAAACUUAUGGAAAAUGGAGUAACCAUCCCCUCAAGCACAUAUCCUUUGUGUAACAAACAAUCCAAUUAUACUCUGUUAUUUUAAAAUGUACAAUUACGUUUUAUUGAUUAUAGUCACCUUGUUGUGCUAUCAGACACUAGGCCUUAUUCAUUCAUUCUAACUAUUUUUUGUACCCAUUAUCCCUCCCCAACUCCCCUUCACUACCUUUCCCAGUCAUUGGUAACCAUCUUUCUACUCCCUAUCUCCAUAGGUUCAAUUGUUUUGAUUUUUAGAUCCCACAAAUAAAUGAAACCAUGUGAUGUUUGUCUUUGUGCCUGGAUUAUUUCACUUAACAUAAUAAACUCCAGUUUCAUCUGUGUUGUUGCAAAUACAUGGAUCUCAUUCUUGUUUAUGGCUGAAUAGUACUCCAUUGUGUGUAAGCACCACAUUUCCUUUAUCCUGCAGUUAAUUUGAAUGUAUGUUUACUUUCUGAGCCUAUGCUUGCUCCUCUGUUCACUCUUUAGUUUCCUUCAUAUCUAUGGAUUCAAUGAACAUAUUUAUUCAGAGAACAUACACAUUUAUAUUUCUAUUAAAGACUGCUCCUCUAAACUCUAGAUUCAUAUGUCUGAUGCCUAUUGAAAUCUCCUGAAUGUCUCUUUAUGGCACCUCAAACUCAGUGUAUCCCAAAGUGAACUCCGUUAACGCCUGGUUCGCUCCCAGUGUCACUUAUCUCAGUGACUAGCAUCACCAUCCAUCCUGUUACACAAAGCAGGAGAUCAGGAGUCAGUCUGGACAGUCCUGACAAUCCCCCAUUCCUCAGAUUUCUUAUCCAACCCACCACCAAGUUACAUCAAAUAGUACCUUCUUAACAUAUCUUCUUCGUCUUCACCACCACCACCUCCCACAGUCUAAGCUGCCAUAAUCAAUUCCUUGCUCAACUAUAAUUGCCUAUUCACGGGUAUACCUUUUCCUAUUCUAGUCUCCUUGAGGCUUAAGAUUUUACUAGAGUGAUCUUUUCUUAAAACGUUUUUAAUCAUGUCACAUCUUAAAGCAUAUUUAAUCAUGGCGUAUGUCUGAUUAAACAAACCUUCCCACUGCUCUUAGGAUAAAGGCAAAACGUGUACUCACAGCCUACAAGGCCCAAAUGAUGUUGGCUCUGCCGACUCCUCUAGUCUUAUUUCUCACCACACUUUCUCUAUCUUUGUUCUCAAGCUGCCUGGCUCUUCCUUUCAGUCCCUUUUCUUUAUCUUGCUCUCUCUCACCACAGGAUAUGUUUUCCUUUAGUGUGGCCAGCAUCUAUCUUCUUUCUUUAUCUGGUUAACAUUUGUCUUUCUUUAAUUUCAACACAGUGCUCUUUUUCUCAUGGGAGCCUUCCUUGAUCUUCCUGACUAGGUCAAAUUCCCUGUACAGACUUUCAUAGCACACAUACUUCUUUUUUGUUUCACUUGCC
This 4785-nucleotide long non-coding RNA is filed under the name Homo sapiens (human). Its description in RNAcentral is "HSALNT0058096". The record is from RNAcentral. Lineage: Eukaryota; Metazoa; Chordata; Mammalia; Primates; Hominidae.